UACGUAGGGGGCAAGCGUUGUCCGGAUUUAUUGGGCGUAAAGAGCGUGUAGGCGGCUAGAUAGGUCCGUUGUGAAAACUCGAGGCUCAACCUCGAGACGCCGGUGGAAACCAUCUAGCUAGAGUCCGGAAGAGGAGAGUGGAAUUCCUGGAUGUAGCGGUGAAAUGACGCAGAUAUCAGGAAGAACACCCGUGGCGAAGGCGGCUCUCUGGUACGUGACUGACGCUGAGGAGCGAAAGCGUGGGGAGCGAACAGG
This 255-nucleotide ribosomal RNA is filed under the name uncultured bacterium. Its description in RNAcentral is "partial 16S ribosomal RNA". It matches the Rfam family "Bacterial small subunit ribosomal RNA", at positions 524 to 776 of the family's 1533-position model. The record is from RNAcentral.